Molecule: ribosomal RNA, 398 nt
Filed under: uncultured bacterium
Lineage: Bacteria
Description: partial 16S ribosomal RNA
Rfam family: Bacterial small subunit ribosomal RNA
Source: RNAcentral
AUACGUAGGGUGCGAGCGUUGUCCGGAAUUACUGGGCGUAAAGAGCUCGUAGGUGGUUUGUCGCGUCGUCUGUGAAAUUCCGGGGCUUAACUCCGGGCGUGCAGGCGAUACGGGCAUAACUUGAGUACUGUAGGGGAGACUGGAAUUCCUGGUGUAGCGGUGAAAUGCGCAGAUAUCAGGAGGACAACCGGUGGCGAAGGCGGGUCUCUGGGCAGUAACUGACGCUGAGGAGCGAAAGCAUGGGUAGCGAACAGGAUUAGAUACCCUGGUAGUCCAUGCCGUAAACGGUGGGCGCUAGGUGUAGGGGUCUUCCACGACUUCUGUGCCGUAGCUAACGCAUUAAGCGCCCCGCCUGGGGAGUACGGCCGCAAGGCUAAAACUCAAAUGAAUUGGCGGGG